Long non-coding RNA from Manduca sexta (tobacco hornworm), 734 nucleotides. RefSeq lists it as uncharacterized. The transcript has 2 exons. The record is from RefSeq and is a predicted model, not a curated record. Lineage: Eukaryota; Metazoa; Arthropoda; Insecta; Lepidoptera; Sphingidae.
CGUUUUUCAACCACCUCGCGCCACCCGCUAUCGCGUCAGCUCGCGCCGGUGGCGUCAGUCGUGCGGUUGUGUAGUUCUGAGUGACAUGUGCCGAAAAUCGCAAAAACAUGCCUACUGAUAAACGAAAGACCGACAGAGGUAAGGCGAGUCGCGAGAUUUACGAUCUCGCUGCUGAAGAAGUCACUUUACGACACAAAAGUCUCCGUGAAGCGACUUCGAGUUACAACCUGAACCACACCUCCCUCUACAGAUAUAUAAAAAAAAAGACUGCUUAUGAAGCUGACGAAACUGUGGGUGCUCCAACGAUUGGAUACCCCGAGAAAACUGUUUUUACUGCUUCAGAGGAGAAGAUACUCUGUGACUAUCUUUUAAACUGCGCUGCUGCUAAUUUUUGCCUGAGUAAUAAGGAAACCAGAACUUUUGUCUAUAAGUUGGCUGUGGAAUAUAAUAAAAACAUUCCGUCUUCUUGGACACAGAAUCAAAUGGCUGGAGAGGUUUGGCUCCUCCAAGAAAAGGAACUCAAACAAAUAGACGCAAAGGGAAAUCUGCUAUCUUAACUGACACUCCCGUAAAAGAUGAACUAGCUGCAAUCGAAGCAGCUAGAACGGCUAAGGAAAAAGUGAAGAAACCUAACUUUGAAGAAACUAAAGCAAGAAAAAGAUCAAAACCAGGGAGUAAAACUAAAAAGGUUAAGGUUGUCAAGAAAAAGAGAGGAAACAAAGACAGUGAUGAAG